ACGCUAGCUACAGGCUUAACACAUGCAAGUCGAGGGGCAGCAUUUUAGUUUGCUUGCAAACUAAAGAUGGCGACCGGCGCACGGGUGAGUAACACGUAUCCAACCUGCCGAUAACUCGGGGAUAGCCUUUCGAAAGAAAGAUUAAUAUCCGAUAGUAUAUUAAAACCGCAUGGUUUUACUAUUAAAGAAUUUCGGUUAUCGAUGGGGAUGCGUUCCAUUAGUUUGUUGGCGGGGUAACGGCCCACCAAGACUACGAUGGAUAGGGGUUCUGAGAGGAAGGUCCCCCACAUUGGAACUGAGACACGGUCCAAACUCCUACGGGAGGCAGCAGUGAGGAAUAUUGGUCAAUGGACGAGAGUCUGAACCAGCCAAGUAGCGUGAAGGAUGACUGCCCUAUGGGUUGUAAACUUCUUUUAUAUGGGAAUAAAGUAUUCCACGUGUGGGAUUUUGUAUGUACCAUAUGAAUAAGGAUCGGCUAACUCCGUGCCAGCAGCCGCGGUAAUACGGAGGAUCCGAGCGUUAUCCGGAUUUAUUGGGUUUAAAGGGAGCGUAGGUGGAUUGUUAAGUCAGUUGUGAAAGUUUGCGGCUCAACCGUAAAAUUGCAGUUGAAACUGGCAGUCUUGAGUACAGUAGAGGUGGGCGGAAUUCGUGGUGUAGCGGUGAAAUGCUUAGAUAUCACGAAGAACUCCGAUUGCGAAGGCAGCUCACUAGACUGCAACUGACACUGAUGCUCGAAAGUGUGGGUAUCAAACAGGAUUAGAUACCCUGGUAGUCCACACAGUAAACGAUGAAUACUCGCUGUUUGCGAUAUACAGUAAGCGGCCAAGCGAAAGCAUUAAGUAUUCCACCUGGGGAGUACGCCGGCAACGGUGAAACUCAAAGGAAUUGACGGGGGCCCGCACAAGCGGAGGAACAUGUGGUUUAAUUCGAUGAUACGCGAGGAACCUUACCCGGGCUUAAAUUGCAUUUGAAUAAUCUGGAAACAGGUUAGCCGCAAGGCAAAUGUGAAGGUGCUGCAUGGUUGUCGUCAGCUCGUGCCGUGAGGUGUCGGCUUAAGUGCCAUAAUGAGCGCAACCCUUAUCUUUAGUUACUAACAGGUCAUGCUGAGGACUCUAGAGAGACUGCCGUCGUAAGAUGUGAGGAAGGUGGGGAUGACGUCAAAUCAGCACGGCCCUUACGUCCGGGGCUACACACGUGUUACAAUGGGGGGUACAGAAGGCAGCUACCUGGCGACAGGAUGCUAAUCCCAAAAACCUCUCUCAGUUCGGAUCGAAGUCUGCAACCCGACUUCGUGAAGCUGGAUUCGCUAGUAAUCGCGCAUCAGCCAUGGCGCGGUGAAUACGUUCCCGGGCCUUGUACACACCGCCCGUCAAGCCAUGAAAGCCGGGGGUACCUGAAGUACGUAACCGCAAGGAGCGUCCUAGGGUAAAACUGGUAAUUGGGGCU
RNAcentral lists this ribosomal RNA (1446 nucleotides) under uncultured organism. Its description in RNAcentral is "SSU rRNA". It matches the Rfam family "Bacterial small subunit ribosomal RNA". The record is from RNAcentral.